GUGGGGAAUCUUGCGCAAUGGGCGAAAGCCUGACGCAGCCAUGCCGCGUGAAUGAUGAAGGUCUUAGGAUUGUAAAAUUCUUUCACCGGGGACGAUAAUGACUGUAGCCGGAGAAGAAGCCCCGGCUAACUUCGUGCCAGCAGCCGCGGUAAUACGAAGGGGGCUAGCGUUGCUCGGAUUUACUGGGCGUAAAGGGCGCGUAGGCGGACAUUUAAGUCAGGGGUGAAAUCCCGGGGCUCAACCUCGGAACUGCCUUUGAUACUGGGUGUCUUGAGUAUGAGAGAGGUGUGUGGAACUCCGAGUGUAGAGGUGAAAUUCGUAGAUAUUCGGAAGAACACCAGUGGCGAAGGCGACACACUGGCUCAUUACUGACGCUGAGGCGCGAAAGCGUGGGGAGCAAACAGGAUUAGAUACCCCGGUAGUCC
This 425-nucleotide ribosomal RNA is filed under the name uncultured bacterium. Its description in RNAcentral is "partial 16S ribosomal RNA". It matches the Rfam family "Bacterial small subunit ribosomal RNA", at positions 354 to 796 of the family's 1533-position model. The record is from RNAcentral.